GUCGUCGUCGUCGUCGUCGGCAGCUAGUAAGACAUCGGAGAUGCGUAAGGGAGGCUGAGUUUGGUCGCGGGACGAAGAGGAGAUAGAGGAGUUUGGGGAUUUAAAAUUAAAGGCUGGCUUCAUCGGGGAUCGAGAAUUUGACAGAGAAGGUAUUAAAUGUGAUGAAGCAGUGACCGAGCGGAGGGUUUGGAUGGUGGAAGAAAUAGGAGGGAAAGUUUUAAACGCUUUCACUUUGC
This 236-nucleotide unclassified non-coding RNA is filed under the name Hevea brasiliensis (rubber tree). Lineage: Eukaryota; Viridiplantae; Streptophyta; Magnoliopsida; Malpighiales; Euphorbiaceae. The record is from RNAcentral.